This 1162-nucleotide ribosomal RNA is filed under the name Peronospora ficariae. RNAcentral's name for it is "partial 28S ribosomal RNA". It matches the Rfam family "Eukaryotic large subunit ribosomal RNA", at positions 144 to 1106 of the family's 3401-position model. Lineage: Eukaryota; Oomycota; Peronosporomycetes; Peronosporales; Peronosporaceae. The record is from RNAcentral.
UGUAGUCUAUAGAGGCGUGGUCAGCGUGGGCUCUGGGCAAGUUCCUGGAAAAGGACAGCAUGGAGGGUGAUACUCCCGUUCAUCUCCGAGUGGCUCGUGCGUACGACCCGUUUUCUUUGAGUCGCGUUGUUUGAGAAUGCAGCGCAAAGUAGGUGGUAAAUUCCAUCUAAAGCUAAAUAUUGGUGCGAGACCGAUAGCAUACAAGUACCGUGAGGGAAAGAUGAAAAGAACUUUGAAAAGAGAGUUAAAGAGUACCUGAAACUGCUGAAAGGGAACCGAAUCGUUUCCAGUGUCUAUAAUCUGUGGCAUAUUUCAUUGGCGAGUGUGUGCGUGCGUGUGCUGUGGCAGCGGCCUUUUGGCUGCGCUUGGCGUGUGUGGUGUGUGUGCUUGCUGGUGCCCUGUGCUGCGGUGGGACGUCAAUGUCAGUUCGUAUGCUGCGGGAAAUGGCUGCCGAGGAGGUAGGGCUUACGCUUGCGUUUGUCUGUUAUAUCUUGGUGGACGAGUCGUCGCGGUUGGGACUGAGGUGCCUACAACGUGCUUUUGAGUGGGUUUGUGUCUCCGUGUGUGCCGUGUGCGGAUAGCUUGCUAUGCGUGUGUGGUUAUGUGUGGAUUGAUAUGGGCUUUAACUUGUUGCCGUUCGGGACGUUGACGAAAUGGAGCGAUCCGACCCGUCUUGAAACACGGACCAAGGAGUCUAACAUGUGUGCAAGUGUUAGGGUGUGGAAACCCCAGCGCGAAAUGAAAGUAAAGGGCAGCGCAAGCUGUCUGAGGUAGGAAACGUUGCGGGCUUCGGUCUGCGGCGUGGCACUAUCGACCGAUCAUGAACCUUCGUGGUGAAAGAUUUGAGUUUGAGCACAUAUGUUGGUACCCGAAAGAUGGUGAACUAUGCCUGAGUAGGGUGAAGCCAGGGGAAACUCUGGUGGAAGCUCGUAGCGAUUCUGACGUGCAAAUCGAUCGUCAAACUUGGGUAUAGGGGCGAAAGACUAAUCGAACCAUCUAGUAGCUGGUUCCCUCCGAAAUUUCCCUCAGGAUAGCAGCAACUUAUUUACGAUAGUUUUAUGAGGUAAAGCGAAUGAUUAGAGGAUUCGGGGAAGAAACUUCCUCGACCUAUUCUCAAACUUUAAAUCUGUAAGACCUGCAGGUUUCUUAAUUGAACUUGUGG